This 1167-nucleotide long non-coding RNA is filed under the name Macaca fascicularis (crab-eating macaque). Its description in RNAcentral is "lncRNA (ENSMFAG00000057780.1)". Lineage: Eukaryota; Metazoa; Chordata; Mammalia; Primates; Cercopithecidae. The record is from RNAcentral.
UUUUUUUUUUUUUUUUUUAGUAGAGGCGGGGUUUCACCCUGUUAGCCAGGAUGGUCUCGAUCUCCUGACCUCAUGAUCCUCCCUGCCUCGGCCUCCCAAAGUGUUGGGAUUACAGGCGUGAGCCACCACCCUGGCCAAUGGAGACUUUUGUAGUCAACCCUCACACAGACAAAAAUUCAAUAAAACCAACACACACACACAAUCUGUAAAGAGUUAUUUCUACUCCUUGCAAUACAAAUUCAGUUUUUCAGCAGCUAGGUAUCCCCUGGAGCUAUAAAGUGUCUCAAAACUCAGAAUAUAUUCUCUUUCUCUCCAACUUCAACUCAUUCAAAGCAGGAAAUAUUUUAUGCUGUAUCCUUUGAAUCAAAACGCAGUGAGAUGAUCUACACACAAAAUCAGCUAGCAAAUAGACGCCCCUUUCUCCCUCUGCCAACAGGAUUAAAACUCAUCUGUGGAAUCAAGACUUCCCUGUAAUCACAUCCAACCAGACUUCAAUCAAAACUCAGGCAUAUGAAAGCCUCUUAGUUUCAGAUGUAUUUAAAAAACAUUUCCUUUCACUCUCUGAAUCUUCUUGAAGAAUAAACUUUGUGUCUUUUUGAAAUUAUCUCCUCUUGCAGUUUUUAAUCUUUUCCUCUCACCAGGGCAAAGACUGAAGCAAUCUGUAAUUAAUGUCUUGAAAAAUAUUUAGGUGGAUUUAAUAAAGAGACCCAAACAGUAAAAAGCUCCACAUACCUACAUGUUUUCUUUAAUUGAAGAAAUGCUAGAGAAUUCUGGAAAAAUUGCUAAAAUCCCAUGGCAGUUCCAUACUGACCUAUUAAAGGAUAUGAAGGUCUGUGUGUCAGUCUUUCAGUGGCUCUCCUAAUGGUAUAAAGAUGAUCAGUAAUUAAUCUUGGAUGUUUAAGGUAUGUUUUUAUUUGUUAGCCAAGGGACUUACCUAUAUGACCUCUUUGCAUCUCUUCCAAUUUAGAACCAACCAGUUGACUUAAUUAAAUAGGAUUUUCUUUCUCCUUCAAAGUUAUCUGUGUUUAGGGAGAAAGAAUGUAAGUGUAUCUCUUUGUAUCGAUUUCUUUCCUUGUAGUGUGUGUGAAGGAGAAACAUCUUGCAAGAUCUUUCCCUUGGCAUAGGAAUAAGUAGACAAUCUAAUUUUAAAGACGCCAAAGCAUAGGG